CUUCCAUCAAAAACCAAAUAUUUGGUAAUAGCUACAAACAGCAGCCUCCUUGGUAGUGUAUGCAGCCUGUUGCUUGUAUGGGUUUCUCUAAGGGACGUUGGAAACAGUC
Small nucleolar RNA from Otolemur garnettii (small-eared galago), 109 nucleotides. Its record names the gene SNORA70. It matches the Rfam family "Small nucleolar RNA SNORA70". From Rfam's summary of the family: snoRNA U70 seems to be exclusive to mammals and is a member of the H/ACA class of snoRNA which contain H (ANANNA) and ACA box motifs. H/ACA box snoRNAs are involved in the conversion of uridines to pseudouridines (5-ribosyluracil) a constituent of structural RNAs (transfer, ribosomal, small nuclear, and small nucleolar). The record is from Ensembl. Lineage: Eukaryota; Metazoa; Chordata; Mammalia; Primates; Galagidae.